Non-coding RNA from Camellia sinensis, 695 nucleotides. The record is from RefSeq and is a predicted model, not a curated record. Lineage: Eukaryota; Viridiplantae; Streptophyta; Magnoliopsida; Ericales; Theaceae.
UAAAAAAAUAAAUAAAUUUAAAAAAAUUGAUGAUUCAAAAUAAGUACUUCUUGUAUAACAACUCCGAUCUUUAAUCUCUUUUUUUCAUCAAAUUUAAGUAAAAAUUUUAUUAAAAACUUGAUAACAAAGCUUAAGACUUGGCUUGAAAACUUAAAGAAUUUAAAAAUAUGUUUAAAUUUGACUUAUUUACAUAAUGAACGGAUCUCGAAGGAGCUUUUAACGUGUCGAACACGAAUCGAACUCAAGUAAUUGAUUUUUUUAGUGUAUAUAAGUUUAUCAAGUCGAGUAGUAAGUUGUUCAAAUUUCACCUAACAACUAAAUGAAUUUAAAAUUGUGUUUAAAUUUGACUUAUUUACAUAACAAGUCAAUCUCAAAUAAAUUUUUAAUGAACCGAACAUGAGUUAAUCUCAAGUAACUAGGUUUGUUUAACAACCUUACUUGAUAAUGAUACGAAACACUCUAAUCUUACUCUUCUUUUAUAUGAAAUGUUUUUGAAAAAUUUCAAACUUAUCCUAAAAAUCUAUUUUAAAUUUUUUAUGAUGAUAUACCAUUUCCGACUUUUACUCUUUUUAAAAAUUCAUCAAAUUUGAGUAAAAAUAUGAUUAUUAAUUUCAUCCUUAGUUUUGAUGAAGAGAGCAAUUAAAAAAAAAACACUUUAUGCUUCAAAAUGAGCACUUCUCACAUUUCAUGGAACA